GUGGGGAAUCUUGCGCAAUGGGCGAAAGCCUGACGCAGCCAUGCCGCGUGAAUGAUGAAGGUCUUAGGAUUGUAAAAUUCUUUCACCGGGGACGAUAAUGACGGUACCCGGAGAAGAAGCCCCGGCUAACUUCGUGCCAGCAGCCGCGGUAAUACGAAGGGGGCUAGCGUUGCUCGGAAUUACUGGGCGUAAAGGGCGCGUAGGCGGACAGUUUAGUCAGAGGUGAAAGCCCAGGGCUCAACCUUGGAAUUGCCUUUGAUACUGGCUGUCUUGAGUACGGGAGAGGUGAGUGGAACGCCGAGUGUAGAGGUGAAAUUCGUAGAUAUUCGGAAGAACACCAGUGGCGAAGGCGACUCACUGGCCCGUUACUGACGCUGAGGCGCGAAAGCGUGGGGAGCAAACAGGAUUAGAAACCCGGGUAGUCC
Molecule: ribosomal RNA, 425 nt
Filed under: uncultured bacterium
Lineage: Bacteria
Description: partial 16S ribosomal RNA
Rfam family: Bacterial small subunit ribosomal RNA
Source: RNAcentral